Molecule: long non-coding RNA, 506 nt
Filed under: Dromaius novaehollandiae (emu)
Lineage: Eukaryota; Metazoa; Chordata; Aves; Casuariiformes; Dromaiidae
Description: lncRNA (ENSDNVG00000016163.1)
Source: RNAcentral
CCGCCGCUGUGAGGUGCCCGUCCGCCUGCGUCCCGCCGCCCGGCAGAGGGGUGGGAGGUCGGCGGCGCCGCGAAAUGGCCGCCGAGCCGCUUCGGAGGCGCCGCGCGCCCCUGCGCUGAGGAGAAGGCGCCGGGGCGGGACGCGGGGCUGCAGCGCUGCGGGUUUAAAGUAAAACAAAAGGCGCCUGUGUGUCCUCUGCGGCGCUUCGGCGUGUUUGUCCAGCGUGGGGUCACCCGGCUCUUCCGGCCAGCGCGGAUGGUGACAGGUGAUCCAGAUGUGAUUGCAAUGUUCUUCUAUCUGCUUCUUUCCUUGGAGGUACACAGCUCUGCCUCAGAAAAGAUGACACUAAUGAAGAGGGAGUGAUCUUCCAUUGGUGCAGUGGUAUGGUACCCCGAUUAGUCCAAUAGCACCUCCCUCCCCUGACUGUCCAGGUCAUUUAGGAAGAUGCUGCUCAAGGUAAGUAAGGGUAUCACCAUCUCGACCAAAGAUUUCUAUCAGUGAAAGAC